GGGGUCACUUGGGGUCCCAUUUUGGGGUCCCAUUUUGGGGUCCCAUUUUGGGGUCCCAUUUUGGGGUCCCUGGGGUUUGGGGUCCCUGGGGUUUGGGGUCCCUGGGGUUUGGGGUCCCUGGGGUUUGGGGUCCCGUUUUGGGGUCCCGUUUUGGGGUCCCAUUUUGGGGUCCCUGGGGUUUGGGGUCCCAUUUUGGGGUCAUAUUUUAUGGUCCCAUUUGGGGUCAUUCUGGGGUCCCUGGGGUUUGGGGUCCCAAUUUUGGGGUCCCAAUUUGGAGUCAUUUUGGGGUCCCUUUUUGGGGUCUCUCGGGGUCAUAUUUUGGGGUCACUCGUGGUCCCAUUUUGGGGUGUCUCGGGGUCACAAUUCGGGGUCUCUCGGGGUCAUAAUGGGGUCACAUUUUGGGGUCCCAUUUGAGGUCAUUUUGGGGUUAUUUUGGGGUCCCUUUUUGGGGUCACUCGGGGUCACAAUUUGGUGUCACUCGGGGUCGCAAUUUGGGGUCACUCGGGGUCCCAUUUUGGGGUCCCUGGGGUUUGGGGUCCCAUUUUGGGGUCAUUUGGGGUCACUCGGGGUUAUAUUUUGGGGUCCCAUUUGGGGUCAUUUUGGGGUUAUUUUGGGGUCAUAUUUUGGGGUCACUCGGGGUCAUAUUUUGGGGUCACUCGGGGUCCCAUUUUGGGGUCCCAUUUGGGGUCAUUUUGGGGUCCCUUUUUGGGGUCUCUCAGGGUCAUAUUUUGGGGUCACUUGGGUCCACAUUUUGGGGUCAUUUUGGGGUCCCAUUUGGGGUCAUUUUGGGGUCCCUGGGGUUUGGGGUCCCAAUUUUGGGGUCCCAAUUUGGAGUCAUUUUGGGGUCCCAUUUUGGGGUCUCUCGGGGUCCCAUUUUGGGGUCCCAUUUUGGAGUCCCAUUUGGGGGCAUUUUGGGGUCAUUUUGGGGUCCCAUCUUGGGGUCUCUCAGGGUCCCAUUUUGGGGUCACUCAGGGUCACAAUUUGGGGUCACUUUGGGUCAUAUUUUGGGGUCCCAUUUUGGGGUCUCUCGGGGUCCCAUUUUGGGGUCAUUUUGGGGUCCCUGGGGUUUGGGGUCCCAUUUUGGGGUCGUUUUGGGGUGACGUUUUGGGGUGUCCCCGCAGCCGGCCCCGUCAUCAUGUCGCUGGAGGAGAAGAUGGAGGCCGACGCGCGCUCCAUCUACGUCGGCAA
RNAcentral lists this long non-coding RNA (1188 nucleotides) under Numida meleagris (helmeted guineafowl). RNAcentral's name for it is "lncRNA (ENSNMEG00000003908.1)". The record is from RNAcentral. Lineage: Eukaryota; Metazoa; Chordata; Aves; Galliformes; Numididae.